AUGGAGGGGAGUGGCGGGUCCUCGUCGCUGCCGCCGUUCCUCACCAAGACGUACGAGAUGGUGGACGAGCCGGCCACGGACGCGGUGGUCGCGUGGACGCCGUCCGGCACCAGCUUCGUCGUCCUCAGCCAGGCCGACUUCUGCCGGGAUCUUCUCCCCAAGUACUUCAAGCACAACAACUUCUCCAGCUUCGUGCGCCAGCUCAACACCUAUGGCUUUAGGAAGGUAGAUCCAGAACAAUGGGAAUUUGCAAAUGAAGAAUUCAUACGAGACCAGCGGCAUCGGUUGAAAAAUAUCCAUAGACGCAAGCCAAUAUUCAGCCAUUCAUCACAUACUCAGGGUGCCGGACCAUUAGCUGAUAGUGAAAGGAGGGACUAUGAGGAGGAAAUUGAGAGGCUCAAGUGUGAUAAUGCAUCACUAAAGUUACAGCUUGAAAGGAAGAAAACUGAUAUGGAGAGUAAAAUGAAGGCUUUGGAAGACAAACUAUUUGCUAUCGAGGGUCAGCAGAAAAAUCUUAUAUCUUAUGUCAGAGAAAUUGUGAAUGCACCUGGAUUUAUUUCUAGCCUCAUAGAACAAUCUGAUCAUCACGGAAAGAAGAGGAGACUGCCUAAACCAAUUUCAUUCCAUGAGGAUGCAAGUACUCAGGGGAACCAGAUUAUGCAUUGUGACAUGGUCAACUCACCAACUCAUGAACUUUUUAGGGCAUCAUUUGACAAAAUGGAAUCAUCCUUAAAUUCCUUGGAGAAUUUCUUCAAAGAAGCGAGCGAGGCAUUUGGUAAUGAUGUUUCAUAUGAUGGUGAUGUCCCAGGUCAUUCUUCAGCUGUUGUUCUUACAGAGCUCCAUUCAUCUGGGGAGAGUGAGCCCCACGCGCAAUCACCUCCGUCCAUGAUGCAUACUUGUUCAGCUGGUGUAGGAGAUUCACACUCUUCUCGCGAUAUAGCAGAGUCCGCCAGCUGUCCAGAGAGUUCUCCGCUUCCCGAAGCUCAUUCUCGUGCAGAUUCACGAUCUAAGGUCUCCGAGAUAGAUGUCAAUUUGGAACCUGCUGUUACAGAAACUGGUCCAUCGAGAGAUCAACAACCCACCCAAGACCCUCCUGCUGAUGCAAAUGAUGGAUUUUGGCAGCAGUUUCUUACCGAGCAGCCUGGGUUAUCCCAUGCACAUCAGGAGGCCCAAUCAGAACGGCGAGACAGAGAAGCAAAUCAAACAACAGCAGGAGACCGCGGAAGUUUUUGGUGGGGCAAGAGCGUCGAACAGAUGACAGAAAAACUGGGGCAUCUCACCUCAGCUGAGAAAACCUGA
RNAcentral lists this ribosomal RNA (1299 nucleotides) under Triticum aestivum (bread wheat). RNAcentral describes it as "partial small subunit ribosomal RNA". The record is from RNAcentral. Lineage: Eukaryota; Viridiplantae; Streptophyta; Magnoliopsida; Poales; Poaceae.